GGGGGCGUAAAGGUUUCGACGGGGAUUUUGACAUAUGGUAAGCGGGUAGAGACGCCUGAUCUCUUUAAAAUUGGCAAAACUUAAAAUUAAACGCUAAUACUGAAUUAGCUGCUGCCUAAGUGCAGCUGUCCGCCGGGGGAGUAUCGCGGCCCCCGCUCGGGCAUCAAAUGAGCGGUGAACGUGAGCAGCCCUUUCGCACUUGACGCUGCCAUGCACUAAAGUGCUGCCCCAAUCCGGAGCCUGCCCUUCGGCGCCGGUGCGGGGGAGAUUCAAAUGAUGGGAUGCACCCGGAGAAAGCUGUGUGAAGAGGUUUUCGGACAGGGGUUCGAUUCCCCUCGCCUCCACCA
RNAcentral lists this transfer-messenger RNA (347 nucleotides) under Clostridia bacterium. It matches the Rfam family "transfer-messenger RNA". Rfam says of the family: Bacterial tmRNA, also known as 10Sa RNA or SsrA, is named for its dual tRNA and mRNA-like properties. Its role is to liberate the mRNA from a stalled ribosome. To accomplish this part of the tmRNA is used as a reading frame that ends in a translation stop signal. Lineage: Bacteria; Bacillati; Bacillota; Clostridia. The record is from RNAcentral.